This 2078-nucleotide long non-coding RNA is filed under the name Canis lupus familiaris (dog). RNAcentral's name for it is "lncRNA (ENSCAFG00000058839.1)". The record is from RNAcentral. Lineage: Eukaryota; Metazoa; Chordata; Mammalia; Carnivora; Canidae.
UUCAAGCCCAUAACCCUGAAAUCAAGAGUUACAUGCUCUCCUGAUGGAGCCAGCCAAGCACCCCCACCCCAGUAGCUUUUUAAAUGGAAACUGACACAGUGAUCCUAAAAUUUAUAUAGAAAUGCAAAGUAUGGUCAAAGCAUUUCAAAAAAGAAAAAUGAAGUUGGAAUACUUACAUAACCUGAUUUCAAAAUUUGCUAUGAUACUAUGAAUUGAUAGUGUGUGAUACUGAUGCAAGGACAGACAGACAUAUAGAUCAGUGGGUGAAAAUCGAGACUAAAACUUCUAGCAAAAAACAUAAGAGAAAAUCUUGAUAACUUUGGGUUGGGCAAAGUAUUCUUAGAUAAGGCAUCAAAAACACGGCACUUGAAAGACAAAAAGGAUCAACUGGACGUCACCAAAAUUAAACAUUUGCUCCUUAAAAUAUCAUUAAGAAAAAUAUUUUAACAAGCUACAAGCUAGGAGAAAAAUAAACAGAAUCAUGGAUCUUAUUAAGGACCAUAUACAGAAGAAAUAAAAAACUCUUAAACUUACUAAUAAGACAGUUUGCCUAAUUUUUAAAUGGGCUAAAGAUUCGAAUAGAUAUUUCACUAAAGAAAGUACACAACUGUCUAAUUAGCAUGUGGAAAGAUACCCAAAUCAUUACUCAUUAGGGAAAUGCAAAUUAAUACCACAAAUGAGAUUACUAUGCCAGAAGAGCUAUGAUGUAAAAGAGAGAAAAUACUAAGAUCGGUAAGGAUAUGAAAGAACUGGAACCUUCAUACGUUGUUGAUAGGUAUGUAAAAUGUUACAGACACAUUGGAAAAUAGUUUGACAGUUUCUUCAAAAUUUAAACACACAUUUACCAUUCAACCCAGUGAUCCACUCUGAGGAAUCUACCCCAGAGAUAAAAACAUACAUCCACACCAAGACUUGUAUGUGAAUAGUUACAGCAGGCAUUAUUCCUAACAGUCAAAAAACUGGAAACAACCCAAAUAUCUGUUAACUGAUAAAUGCAUACACACAAUAUGGUACAACCACACAAGAAAAUACAUCACUCAGCAGCCAGGGUGAACUUUAGAAAGUGCAAAUUAGACUUGUGAUUUUAAGGCUCAAUAUCUAAGAGAAUUGUGCUAACUUUAUUAACAGGUUUAAAAUAUGCAAGACUAGGGACGCCUGGAUGGCUCAGUGGUUGAGCUCUGCUUUUGGCUCAGGUUGUGGUCCUGGAGUUCAGGGAUCGAGUCCCACAUCAGGCUCCCUGAGGGGAGCCUGCUUCUCCCUCUGCCUGUGUCUCUGCCUCUGUGUGUGUGUGUGUGUCUCUCAUGAAUAAAUAAAAUCUCUAAAAAAUUUUUUUAAAUAAAAAUAAAAUAAAAUAUGCAAGACUAUAUAAAUUUGUAUAAUGUUAUACGUCAGUACCUGUAUAAGUCAUGCUGGAGUUGACACACACUGUUGCUGACCUGACUCACCUCACUGGUGUGAAGCAGCAUCCGGGUUUGCUUGUACUUUCGAUUCUCUUUCAAUUUUCCUUACUCCUGUGCAUGUGCUUAGUGGUGUGUUUAGUUAAAGGAUGCCAGUUUCUAUAGGAUACCCAUGUGGACAAGGUCAAAGGCAAUAAGAACAAACACAGGUUUCAGUCUGUCCCAGUGGGACAGUAUUCCUUAUGUUCAUGAGAUACUAGCCUGCUUGUGAUCUUCCCUUCCUGCCUACAGACUUCAAAGGUUUGACUGGGAUCGGGUCUGCUUGCAAGUUCGUGUAGCUAUCAGAGCAUUUAGUUUCUUACAAGUUGUCAAAAUGAGAUAUUCAUUUUCUUAUCAGUUGGAGGCUGCCUUCAGCUCUUUGCAGUGUGGCCCUCUCCAUAUGGCAGCUCAAAACAUGGCAGCUUGCUCUUUCAAAGCCAGCAAGGGAGAGGGAGUCUUCUAGCGAGGUGGAUUAUAAUCUUAGGUAAUAGGGUCAUGUACAAAUAAUCGCAUAUAUCCCAUUGUCUUCACUAAACUCUACUACUUAGAAGAAAGUCACAGGCCCCAUUAACACUCAAGGGGAAAAAAUAAAUAAAUAAAAUUUAAAAAUUUAAAAAGUAAAAAUUAAAAAAAAAAAAAAAA